AUUGAACGCUGGCGGCAGGCCUAACACAUGCAAGUCGAGCGGAUGAAGGGAGCUUGCUCCUGGAUUCAGCGGCGGACGGGUGAGUAAUGCCUAGGAAUCUGCCUGGUAGUGGGGGAUAACGUCCUGAAACGGGCGCUAAUACCGCAUACGUCCUGAGGGAGAAAGUGGGGGAUCUUCGGACCUCACGCUAUCAGAUGAGCCUAGGUCGGAUUAGCUAGUUGGUGGGGUAAAGGCCUACCAAGGCGACGAUCCGUAACUGGUCUGAGAGGAUGAUCAGUCACACUGGCACUGAGACACGGCCCAGACUCCUACGGGAGGCAGCAGUGGAGAAUAUUGGACGAUGGGCGAAAGCCUGAUCCAGCCAUGCCGCGUGUGUGAAGAAGGUCUUCGGAUUGUAAAGCACUUUAAGUUGGGAGGAAGGGCAGUAAGUUAAUACCUUGCUGUUUUGACGUUACCAACAGAAUAAGCACCGGCUAACUUCGUG
Molecule: ribosomal RNA, 484 nt
Filed under: uncultured bacterium
Lineage: Bacteria
Description: partial 16S ribosomal RNA
Rfam family: Bacterial small subunit ribosomal RNA
Source: RNAcentral